Molecule: ribosomal RNA, 399 nt
Filed under: uncultured bacterium
Lineage: Bacteria
Description: bacterial SSU rRNA
Rfam family: Bacterial small subunit ribosomal RNA
Source: RNAcentral
CGAAUCUUCCGCAAUGCGCGAAAGCGUGACGGAGCAAUGCCGCGUGCAGGAUGAAUCCCUUCGGGGUGUAAACUGCUGUCAGGGUUUAGCAACACAAUGAGCAGACCCAAAGGAAGGGCCGGCUAACUUCGUGCCAGCAGCCGCGGUAAUACGAAGGGCCCAAGCGUUGCGCGGAAUCACUGGGCUUAAAGCGUACGUAGGCGGGCACGCAGGCACCUUGUGAAAUCCCUCGGCUCAACCGAGGAACUGCUUGGUGAACCGCGUGCCUCGAGGCAAGUAGGGGCUGUCGGAACGAUAGGUGGAGCGGUGAAAUGCGUUGAUAUCUAUCGGAACGCCGAAGGUGAAGACAGGCAGCUGGGCUUGUUCUGACGCUGAGGUACGAAAGCGUGGGUAGCGAAC